RNAcentral lists this ribosomal RNA (648 nucleotides) under uncultured fungus. RNAcentral's name for it is "eukaryotic LSU rRNA". It matches the Rfam family "Eukaryotic large subunit ribosomal RNA", at positions 23 to 641 of the family's 3401-position model. Lineage: Eukaryota; Fungi. The record is from RNAcentral.
ACCCGCUGAACUUAAGCAUAUCAAUAAGCGGAGGAAAAGAAACCAACAGGGAUUGCCUCAGUAACGGCGAGUGAAGCGGCAACAGCUCAGAUUUGAAAUCUGGCCUCGUGUCUGGGGCCCGAGUUGUAGUCUGCAGAGGAUGCUUCCCGGCUGCGUGGGGGCCCCAAGUCCUGUGGAAUCAGGGCGCCAGAGAGGGUGAGAGCCCCGUCUAGGGUCCCCAGCGCGGCUGCUAUGCGUAGCUCCUUCGACGAGUCGAGUUGUUUGGGAAUGCAGCUCUAAAUGGGUGGUAAAUCUCAUCUAAAGCUAAAUACUGGCCAGAGACCGAUAGCGCACAAGUAGAGUGAUCGAAAGAUGAAAAGCACUUUGAAAAGAGAGUCAAACAGCACGUGAAAUUGUUGAAAGGGAAGCGCUAGCAACCAGACUUGGCCUGCUGCGGUCUAUGGUGCAGGUGAGCAGCUCCACUGCUGCCUGCUCCUUCCGUCAGUGUGGCCGGGCCAGCAUCAGCGCAGCGGGUGGCAGUAAGCGCUGGCGUGGAAUGUAGCUCUCCUUGGGGAGCGUUAUAGCCUGCUAUGCAUGCCGCUGCCACGCUGUGCUGAGGAACAUGCCCUGCUUCUUAGCGCGGGCCUGGAUGCUUGGCGUAAUGGUUGC